RNAcentral lists this ribosomal RNA (390 nucleotides) under uncultured bacterium. RNAcentral describes it as "bacterial SSU rRNA". It matches the Rfam family "Bacterial small subunit ribosomal RNA", at positions 30 to 420 of the family's 1533-position model. The record is from RNAcentral.
AUUGAACGCUGGCGGCAUGCCUUACACAUGCAAGUCGAACGGCAGCGGGGACUUCGGUCCGCCGGCGAGUGGCGAACGGGUGAGUAAAGUAUCGGAACGUACCUUUCAGUGGGGGAUAACGUAGCGAAAGUUACGCUAAUACCGCAUAUUCUGUGAGCAGGAAAGCAGGGGAUCGCAAGACCUUGCGCUGAUUGAGCGGCCGAUAUCAGAUUAGCUAGUUGGUGAGGUAAAGGCUCACCAAGGCGACGAUCUGUAGCGGGUCUGAGAGGAUGAUCCGCCACACUGGGACUGAGACACGGCCCAGACUCCUACGGGAGGCAGCAGUGGGGAAUUUUGGACAAUGGGCGCAAGCCUGAUCCAGCCAUGCCGCGUGCGGGACGAAGGCCUCGG